UCAACCCUCAAGCCCUGCUUGCUGUUGGACCCCUCGACGAAAGUUGACGGCCCCCAAAGAUAAUGACGGCGUUGUGGCAACCCCCAGAUGCAAUGAGCCUUAACACGCACGCGUCACGGGCGGGUACCACGACCCCAGUCUUUAACAAUUAUUCUAA
RNAcentral lists this unclassified non-coding RNA (157 nucleotides) under uncultured Chaetothyriales. RNAcentral describes it as "sequence contains ITS2". Lineage: Eukaryota; Fungi; Ascomycota; Eurotiomycetes; Chaetothyriales. The record is from RNAcentral.